Long non-coding RNA from Tympanuchus pallidicinctus (lesser prairie-chicken), 3260 nucleotides. RefSeq lists it as uncharacterized. The record is from RefSeq and is a predicted model, not a curated record. NCBI's taxonomy places the organism in Eukaryota, Metazoa, Chordata, Aves, Galliformes, Phasianidae. The transcript is spliced from 14 exons.
CCUCGCCUUGGCGUCCUACCUAAGCCUGCUGUUGAGGGAGGAGCGAGCUGCACGCGCACGCUUCGCCUUACGAGGGGAGGGAAUGAUAAAGCAGGAGAUUCUGAUGAGCGUGAGGCUUUUAUCCCUCAGUUCGGCUGACCCGGCGCCUAAAUAGCAGGCAGGAUCUCUUGGAUCGACACCUUGCUUAACUGAGUGGUUGUGCUUUACUGAAUUUUUCCAUUGCUGAAGAAUCCAUCAGAACCAUUGGUACCUGAAGAGACAAGGUAUCUUGCUGCAACUUCACUAAGUUGCAUUUCUUGUCGAUGAGAGGAACUCGUCUCUCUCUUCCCACACAAACAGAGUGCAGAAUGGAGCUGUAGUAUGGACUUCUUUCAGAAAGACAGCAACAAAAAUAAGACUCAGAGUAAAGGUCACUUCUGAUCCAGCUUACACAGACCUUCCAUGUUUGUUCCCUGUCUACAGAUCACGAGCUCUCAGGUUCAAGGCAGCAAGACUCACAAUCCUGCUUACGGAAUGUGCCUGUUUUGCAGUCAUGGAGGCACCCGGCCAGAUGAGGUUCAAGCUGGUCUGCAUUGAUUUGAACUUAAGGUAGUGUUGGAACUGCUCUAUUACCUGGAAGAACUCUGGAUUCUGGUUAAGUUCAUUUUGAUCCUGCUCAUAUUGGCUGCUUAAAGUGUACUUACACACAGCUUGAGCCUGUCUGGAUGCUGUUCUUCCUCUUCAGUCAUUUUUCUGCCCUGAUUUGUAUUCCUGCCCUCCAGCGUAACGUUAUUCAGAAACUUCUCGUCCUCCUGUGCAGCAGCAUAAAUAAGUUUGGCCACUGGGAAUACAGUACAGGGGUGGGAAAACAAUCCCGUAAUUGAAGACCUACUUCUAGCACCAGCGUUGCGAAUUAAAUCCAUCAGAGGACUCUCAGAACCCAGGACAACUUGCCACCUCAGAGCAACUUAUGCAUUGAAGAGUGUAGAUGGAAGCAACGGGGAGGGAAAGGAGAACAUCGUCUACAGGUUUGGAUAAAUUCAUCUUUCUGCCCUUCACUUCAUAUCCACGUCAAAGUCCAACACCAGCAGCUUUGUUUCCUCAGUCCCGUUCCGGCUCCCAACGGCGCACACCAGCUUUGUGUUGGAAGCUCUGAUCCGCCACACGACGCCUCCGCUUCCCCCGCUCUCCAAUGUCACAGCGCUCUGAUGUUUGUUGGGACCUAGAAGAGCAAACCAGAACAUUUUUGUUUCUAAUGGGAAAGCAGUGACAGACAGCGCUGCACGUAACGUAAAUACCCAUCCACUUGAGUGCAGCUGUUUCUCUUAGAUGUGUUAUCCCUGUUUUUGUGCUUUAAAAGGUACAGAACCUUGCCUUCUGUUUUCAAAAAGCGAAAUUUCCCCAAUACUUCUUUGUUACAGUGAUCUUGUUUUGUUCCAUACGCACAGCAGGCAAAGUGCAAGCUUGGAAAUUCACGAACAUGAACUUAGCUGUGCAGAAUGAGGUGAGCACGAUGCAUGUUUUUUCUCCAAGUCCCUUUGAAGUGUUAUUAUGGGAUAACUCUACUGAUUUUGACUGUAGAAUCAGCAUUUCCAGACACGAGUAUAUUGUCCUUAAGUUCCAUUCCACUCGUCAAAGACUGGUGGCCUGUGAGUGUGUGAAUGCAGUUUCCUGUCUCCACAUCCCAAACUCGGAUGGAGGUGUCAAGAGAUCCGCUCACCACAUGGAUACCAUCAAACUGCAAGAAAGCCAUGAGUGUAGGCUAACACCAGUGACAACUGACUACGAGCUUCCACGAGACUGGAGAAAAAACACACAUACAGCAAAGUUGUUUUAAGACCAUCGUAGAGAUGGCUGAUGCUAUUUUGAGAAGUCAUGGAAGACAGACAAGACUUCAGGUGGCAGUGCCUGGAAUUGAUGCUUUCACUUCACGAAUGAACAAGAUGAUCUUUUGGAAUAGUUAAGCGUGUGCAGACAGGUCUCGGUCUCUGGAUCCCACACUUUGACCAUAAAGUCAUAUGCACCACUUACAACCCUUCUGCCAUCAUACUGAACGCAUCGAACUGCAGCUACGUGGCCCAUCAGAACAUGUAAACACUGGCCCGUCUCUAUGUCCCAAACUCUCAGUGUAGCAUCUCGAGAACCACUGACCACUCUGGAGGAACAAGAAAACCCCUCCUAUAUUUAGUGUUGGAAAUAAAAGCAUUAAAACAAUAUAAAUCAGUUCUAAGUUUUCAUCUGGGAUGACUAGACAGCAUUUGUCCACUAGGCACCGAAGAUCUGGUUUGGUAUGACAUUUUAUUAGGGAUGCAAAUGACUCAAGUGUGUUUCUUCCUCGCCCUUCUCGUCUCUCCAGGAUCUAUUUGAUAUAAUUAGCAAUCUCUAUUUAAAAAGCACUUGAGUCCCGAACAGCAAAAUGAUGCCAUGAGAAACUACGUGGACUACUGUAUCCACCCAUAAAGCUUAUGAAUAUGCCGAGUUCAAAUUAGCACUUUAAGCAUCCUGCUUAAAUGACUGAAUUAACUAAUUAUAACAAUUAAAGAAGAUCUUUAGAAGUUAUACUUUUAGCAAAGGAACGAUUAUUCUGCUUGUUUUUUUUCUCAGUUUAUACUUUUUAAAGCCUUUUUAGGCAAGCACAGAAGUGAGAAGGAAUUAAUAUUAGUGGCACAGAUAAAGAAAAACCUCCACAUUCUUCAAAAAAGAAAUGUAACCAACGGGCACUUGGACAACAGCACCAUACCACAGCCACGUAAAGUAGCUCUGCCAAUGUUCCUUGAAUCAAGAAUUUCUACUGCAGAAAUCAUGAUACAAGAAGAUUAUCUUCAGCCAGAAUCCUCCAAUAACGGCACGUCUGAGCUGCCUGCAGAAGGUCCCUGGGUUCCAGGAAUGACAGCACGUACAGCGCCAGCUGUAAGAAAAGGAAGGGAGGUUUCUAAAUUGCUUUUGAAAGGAAAAGUGAAGUAACUCCAAGCAUUAUCACACAUCAGAGGCUGAAAUACAGAAAAUUGAAACAAUGAAUUAUUAAAUGAUCUCAGAAACUUAGCAGAGCUACAGCUUGUUCCAGUGGGCACUUGAGAAGUACAGUAAUCUUCUUAAAUAACUAAAUCCACACAGAUCACAUCAAAAAUGUAUAUUAUUUGCAAGAGACUAGAUGUCAGCUGAAAUCACUGGCUAUUAUGCUUUUUUAAAUGUCAUCCGUAUUACUUUGAACCACUGCCAGAUAUACUGAAAUAAUUGUGCCUGUGAUAUUUUAUCUAAUAAAAGUUGUUCUGAGAGUUUAA